UUGCGAUAUGCAACUAAGAUUGAGAGCCACUGACCGAGAGGGUUUCCAUCAGACCUGGUAGAGCCCAUUGAUGUUGGAGGAUCUUGGAUGUCGUGUCUGAUAGAGAAUCACCGGUACAUAAGUAAUCAUCCCAUUCAGAUAAUAAAAGAGAUAUGAUGUCAUUCCCCAAGUCUGGACAAGGAAUAUUUUGGAGAGGGAAGAUAAAUCGUUGAAUUUGGAGGAAAAAAAUGAUGUCUUUGGCU
RNAcentral lists this long non-coding RNA (242 nucleotides) under Callithrix jacchus (white-tufted-ear marmoset). RNAcentral describes it as "lncRNA (ENSCJAG00000081298.1)". Lineage: Eukaryota; Metazoa; Chordata; Mammalia; Primates; Cebidae. The record is from RNAcentral.